This 484-nucleotide ribosomal RNA is filed under the name uncultured bacterium. Its description in RNAcentral is "partial 16S ribosomal RNA". It matches the Rfam family "Bacterial small subunit ribosomal RNA", at positions 29 to 507 of the family's 1533-position model. The record is from RNAcentral.
AUUGAACGCUGGCGGCAUGCUUUACACAUGCAAGUCGAACGGCAGCGCGGGCUUCGGCCUGGCGGCGAGUGGCGAACGGGUGAGUAAUACAUCGGAACGUGCCCAGUAGUGGGGGAUAGCUCGGAGAAAGCCGGAUUAAUACCGCAUACGACCUGAGGGUGAAAGCGGGGGAUCUUCGGACCUCGCGCUAUUGGAGCGGCCGAUGGCAGAUUAGCUAGUUGGUGGGGUAAAGGCCUACCAAGGCGACGAUCUGUAGCUGGUCUGAGAGGACGACCAGCCACACUGGGACUGAGACACGGCCCAGACUCCUACGGGAGGCAGCAGUGGGGAAUUUUGGACAAUGGGCGAAAGCCUGAUCCAGCAAUGCCGCGUGUGUGAUGAAGGCCUUCGGGUUGUAAAGCACUUUUGGCGGGAACGAAAAGGACUGUGCCAAUACCACGGUUCGAUGACGGUACCCGCAGAAUAAGCACCGGCUAACUACGUG